GGCGUCAUAGCUCAGCUGGGAGAGCAACAGACUGAAGUACCCGUACACUGGUAGGUGUUCAUCUGGAGGUCCCGUGUUCAAUCCACGGUGAUGCCA
Mycena galericulata is the source of this 96-nucleotide non-coding RNA. The record is from the annotation of a GenBank genome assembly. NCBI's taxonomy places the organism in Eukaryota, Fungi, Basidiomycota, Agaricomycetes, Agaricales, Mycenaceae.